UGCCAGUUCAUUUUGAAUUGUCAGGUCGUCACCAGCGUGAUUGCUGGUUUUCCAUGCUCUCUAGUUUUUUUUUGUUGAUAGCUUUUCCGAUUCUAACUUUUCUGCCUAGCAUUCUGUACAUGCCUGAUUCUGAUCUGGUUUAUGAACUUCUGUCUGCCCUGACCCUGUCUGCCGUCCAGUACCUAUUGGACUCUGAUCUGGUUACGAACCUCUGCCUGCCCUUUGCCUGCUCCCCGUGUUAUAAUAAAUUAUCUGAGAACUGAACCAUCCACGUCCUGUGUCUGCAUCUGGGUCAUAUCCUGCGUCAUUAUAGGAACCUAGGAACAAACCUAGAGAGGAACCAGGCUCCGAGGGGUGGCCAGUCCUCUUCUGGCUGUGCGGGGUGGAGAUUAUAAGAGUACAUGGCCAUUUAAGGACAGAUUGUUCUUCAAGAUGUUCAAAUGGGAGACGAGUGGAAGACCGCGUUCAGGACCACCACAAGGCAUUAUGAGUACCUUGUCAUGCCGUACGGGUUGAUGAAUGCUCCAUCAGUUUCCCAAUCCUUUGUAGACGAGAUUUUCAGGGACCUGCACCGGCAGGGUGUAGUGGUGUAUAUCGAUGACAUUCUGAUUUACUCCGAUACACGCGCCGAGCAUGUGUCCUUGGACGACUGUUGGCGCAUGACCUGUAUGUUAAGGCUGAGAAAUGCCUGUUCUUUCAGCAGGCCGUCUCCUUCCUAAGGUAUCGCAUUUCCACAUCAGGGGUGGAGAUGGAGAGUGACCGCAUUUCAGCCGUGAGUAAUUGGACGACUCCCACCACGGUAAAGGAGGUGCUACAGACCAGGUUCCCGGAAUAAGACGCACUAUCCAGACUGUAUGACUCAGAGGAGCGGCCCAUGGAUCAGACUCCCAUACUCCCGGCCUCCUGCCUGGUGGCGACGGCCGUGUGGGAUCUGGACACGGACAUUGAGCAGGCGCUCCCCCCCAGUGUCCCGUUGGGCGUAAGUACGUUCCGUCUGCUGUCCGUAACCAGUUGAUCUCUUGGGCCCACACGUCUCCCUCCUCUGCUCAUCCGGGGAUCGGUCGGACGGUGCGCUGUCUGACUGGGAAGUACUGGUGGCCCACCUUGGCAAAGGACGUGAGGGUUUAUGUUUCCUGCUCGGUGUGUGCCCAGUGUAAGGCUCCGAGACACCUGCCCAGAGGGAUUUGGGCCUGUUCCCGGGAAAGCAGUAUGCCCUUCACGUCCAGCUCGUCAGACUUGUUAAAGGAAAAAAAAUAUUCUGCCAGUUCGUGGUCAGCUGUAAGAUUGCUACAAUGUUAUCCAACUACUGCAUCAUGGCCUACUCCAGCUGGCUGCUGGCCGAGGGAAACUACCCACACAGCCUGGUCAGUGUCUCCCUCUUCUCCCAGAAGAGGCACCUCUGGUGGUACAUCAUCCUGGGCUGGGGUUCUCCAAUGGUCAUCAUAGUAGCUUGGAGCUUGGCAAAAUAUAUCCAUGAGAAUGAAGAGUAGGUUAUGUCUGUAUUCAAGUAUUCAUGUCAGAAUGCUUAUAUGCUCCCCACCUAUAGUGUGUGUAUUUUCCCCCGGUUGUAAAGGUGCUGGGAGACGAGGGGAUCUGGUGAAUUCUCAGAGUUCCUGUUCUCCUCUUCAUUGUUGUGAGUUCUGACAUAACCUUUGACCCCAUAACCAAGUUUGUGAUUUUCUGUUAGUCAGCACCUCACUCAAAAUCAGUCUCUUAUUUAGGUUACCUUUCUGUUUUUUCCUGAGUAUCAUAAGAAUCCUGGUGGCCAUGUUACGGAUACAGGACAUGCAUGUGAAUUAGUUCAACCAGUACAGGUAGUGAGUGUUUUUAUUCUGUUUGACAAAAACAAUUAACAGCUACAGAAAAAAAACCACUUUUGCCAUGUUGAUGAUAUCUUAUGUAGUUGUAUAUUUGUAUUUUCAGGCUUGCUAUGUCCACCCUCCUUUUGGUAUCUCUCUCUGGUUUGCACUACGUCCUCUUUGCAUUUCUCCCACAUAAAGUAAAUGAAAUAUGGAAUUGAGCUGGCUUUCGACCUCCACUCAGGUACUGUAGUGCCUUUAUCCCACCUCUGUGGUUGUACUAUACGUAGAGUACAUUUUAUGUACAAACUUCCAGUGGAUCUAUUUUUGGGGAUACAUUGAGUAUACCUCAAUAUUUGGCUGUGCUUUGUUCUAUUCUAAGGGUUUGUAGUAGCAGUUCUAUACUGUUUUCUGAAUGGAGAGGUAAGUUGACACCCACACAGUUAAUGUUCUAGGUUAUAGUGAAUAGAGAGGGGAUUGACUGAACCCGGGUGUUGAACUUUGACACUCCCCAGGUUCAGUAUGAGGUCCAGAGGAGGUGGAAGCGAUGGAGACUGGAGCAGUAUAUACACUAUAUAUACAAAAGUAUGUGGACACCCAUUCAAAUAAGUGGAUUGAGCUAUUUAAACCACACCUGUUGCUGACAGCUGCAUAAAAUCGAGCAGACAGCCAUGCAAUCACCAUAGACAAACAUUGGCAGUAGAAUGGCCUUACUGAAGAGCUCAGUAACUUUCAAUGUGGCACCAUCAUAGGAUUCCACCUUUCCAACAAGUCAGUUUGUAAAAUGUAUGCCCUGCUAGAACUUCACCGGUCAGCUGUAAGUGAUGCUAUUGUGAAGUGUAAACGUCUAGCAGCAACAACGACUCAGCCGCGAACUGGUAGGCCACACAAGCUCACAGAACGAGACCGCCAAGUGCAACACUCACUACCGAGUUCCAAACCGUCAGCACAAUAGCUGUUAACCUGGAGCUUCAUGAAAUGGGUUUCCAUGAACAAGCAGCCGCACGCAAGCCUAAGAUCACC
Non-coding RNA from Oncorhynchus mykiss (rainbow trout), 2822 nucleotides. Lineage: Eukaryota; Metazoa; Chordata; Actinopteri; Salmoniformes; Salmonidae. The record is from RefSeq and is a predicted model, not a curated record.